AUUGAACGCUGGCGGCAGGCCUAACACAUGCAAGUCGAGCGGAAGAAGGGAGCUUGCUCCUGGAUUCAGCGGCGGACGGGUGAGUAAUGCCUAGGAAUCUGCCUGGUAGUGGGGGAUAACGUCCGGAAACGGGCGCUAAUACCGCAUACGUCCUGAGGGAGAAAGUGGGGGAUCUUCGGACCUCACGCUAUCAGAUGAGCCUAGGUCGGAUUAGUUAGUUGGUGGGGUAAAGGCCUACCAAGGCGACGAUCCGUAACUGGUCUGAGAGGAUGAUCAGUCACACUGGAACUGAGACACGGUCCAGACUCCUACGGGAGGCAGCAGUGGGGAAUAUUGGACAAUGGGCGAAAGCCUGAUCCAGCCAUGCCGCGUGUGUGAAGAAGGUCUUCGGAUUGUAAAGCACUUUAAGUUGGGAGGAAGGGCAGUAAGUUAAUACCUUGCUGUUUUGACGUUACCAACAGAAUAAGCACCGGCUAACUUCGUG
RNAcentral lists this ribosomal RNA (484 nucleotides) under uncultured bacterium. Its description in RNAcentral is "partial 16S ribosomal RNA". It matches the Rfam family "Bacterial small subunit ribosomal RNA", at positions 30 to 507 of the family's 1533-position model. The record is from RNAcentral.